CUUAGUUACAAUGCAUGUACUUUAACGCCUUCACGUCUCAAAUCAUGUAUACACGAUUGUCAGCGUAUGCAUCCAAACCCCACAAUCGUUUAUACAAUAUAUUAACCAUUGCAAAUGAAAUUUGUUUAUUGCAAAUGACAGUAACCCUCACACUCACUCAGUCACCCCUCAUGCGCACAACACAGACUGGCCACAAGCAACACGACCACAACCAGCCCGGCCAUACGCACAACACCCUGCAAGCAGCUCUCCCACACAUAUACGCUCCUAGACACAGAGCUACACAAGCUCACAGUUACAGAUACAAUAAUGCAUUCUGGGAACAAUCACAGAUACACAUACACACAAAUAUACAGGAUACUCACUGCCAGACACGCAGUCUCAGGCGCAUAUACUCUACACAAUGGCACAAAUGGACACAUGUAACAAAACAAAC
This is a non-coding RNA of Pelobates cultripes (western spadefoot toad), 436 nucleotides long. NCBI's taxonomy places the organism in Eukaryota, Metazoa, Chordata, Amphibia, Anura, Pelobatidae. The record is from the annotation of a GenBank genome assembly.